This is a long non-coding RNA of Salvia splendens (bonfire salvia), 1671 nucleotides long. RefSeq lists it as uncharacterized. Lineage: Eukaryota; Viridiplantae; Streptophyta; Magnoliopsida; Lamiales; Lamiaceae. The record is from RefSeq and is a predicted model, not a curated record. The transcript is spliced from 9 exons.
GCUUAAAUCAAACUCUAUAAAUUAGCUGGUAGUUUCUCUCACCUCACCUUGAACGCCAUGGAUCUCACUCCUGAUACUAUUGCCUUAUGGUGCAUCGAUUUUCGAGGCUUGUGCUAAUGCAGACGAGGCAAAAUUUAGGAGUGAACUCUUUUUCUUGAUUUCUUUGUCUUUGAUCUGUAUUCUUGUUCUGCGGUGUCUAAUUCUGAGAUUUUUUUUUCAUUUUUUGUUGUGUGAUCGCAGAGAUUAGUAGGCAGGUUUACGAUCCCACAGAUUUCAGGCAAAUAUGUGAUUCACACAUGGCCUUCUCCACUGGCGAGAAUGUCUUGCAUUACGCUGCUUCAUUGGGACAUUUGCACAUUUGCGAAGUCUUGAUUCAUAACGUCGGAGCUUAUAUCGAAGCCACUACUCAUAAGGGUUCUCUCUCUCUCUCUCUCAUGCUUCUUCUUCUGAUAUUUAUGUCUCUGGUAGUUUUAUUAAUUGGAUUUUUGAUUCUUGAUUGUUUGUUUAGGGGUUUCUUUUCUUUUGGACUCCACUUUGCACACCACUUAUUUGUUUUUUGGUAUAAGUGAAAUAUACUUCAGAUUGCUUUGUGGAACCAACUCUAUAAACUGCUUCAGGGGAUACUCCUCUGAUUGAAGCUGCCAAACAUGGACAGUACGAAAUUGCGGAUUAUCUUAUCCAGCAAGGUGCUGCAGUUGGUGCUUCCAAUGCAAAGGGAACCACUGCCUUGCAUUAUGCACUUUCAGAAGGUUGCUGGUCGAUUAUGGCAUUGUUGAUCAUAAGAGGUGCUCCUGUAAAUGCAGAUUCUGUUGAUGGAACACCUUUACAAAUUGCUGUAUACCUUAGAAGCGUUUCGCCUGUGAAGUAUCUGUUGUCUAAUGCCGCGAAGCCAUUUUUUUUGCAUGGAUUUGGAGUGCCCUCUUGCAUAUGCAGUCAAGGCUGAGUGGUUUGAAUGCUUGGGUUUUCUGCUUAAGGGUGAUUUGACAGUCGUUGAGGAGGCUGCUUUGGCGCGUAAUCGUGAAGCUGUUGAGAUUUUAUUUCCACUGAGUAAGCUGAUAGAAAGUUAUCCAGAAUGGAGUGUUGAUGGCAUACUGGAGUACUGUCAUUCUGAAAAAGCUAAAACAGAGAGAGAGGCGUAUAAGAGACGAUGCGUGGUUGCAAUGGGCAGGAUAGGGGACAGAGCAAUGGGCUUUAAGAGAUCAACAUUGCAGCCCUACAUUUUAAAAUAGCUACACAUCAUGAUCCAACUAACCCUACAUGGGCAUCAAAGCAGAGCCUGUGUAAUGCGCAUGCGAAUAGACGCACACUUGCUUUGUACGAUGUUGAAAGAUUCCUUAGAUUCAAGCUACGCAUGCCUGGCCCUCACCCUGGAGGCGCUGAUUCUGCGGCCUGGAUAUCCAAGAAUGCUGCGGCCUGGAUAUGCCUUUAUGGUGUAUCCUCUUGACGAUACCCUUUCUGGUGUGUUUAGGCUUAGUAUGUUUGAUGGCUUUGUUUGGUUGUAUAUGUUGAGCAGCCCGGAGGAGAUAAAGAAUUGUAGCCAAAAGGUUCUAGAACUUUCCAAGAAUUGAUUGUUUGAUGUGUAUAAGUUGGAUCCUACUCUUGCAAAUAUUGUUUCGGAUUCUUAAAUAAAUCUACUGUGUGGUCGUGGAUCGACCCAUCUAUUGUCCUUCA